This 402-nucleotide ribosomal RNA is filed under the name uncultured bacterium. RNAcentral describes it as "bacterial SSU rRNA". It matches the Rfam family "Bacterial small subunit ribosomal RNA", at positions 355 to 774 of the family's 1533-position model. The record is from RNAcentral.
UGGGGAAUCUUGCGCAAUGGGCGAAAGCCUGACGCAGCGAUACCGCGUGAGUGAAGAAGGCCCUUGGGUCGUAAAACUCUUUUGCAAGUGAAGAUAAUGACGGUAACUUGCGAAUAAGCACCGGCUAACUCCGUGCCAGCAGCCGCGGUAAUACGGAGGGUGCGAGCGUUGUUCGGAUUUACUGGGCGUAAAGGGUGCGUAGGCGGUUUCUUACGUGAAGGGUGAAAUCCCGAGGCUUAACCUCGGAAUUGCUUUUCAAACGGGGAGGCUAGAGAGAGUCAGAGGUAAGCGGAAUUCCUGGUGUAGAGGUGAAAUUCGUAGAUAUCAGGAGGAACGCCUGUGGCGAAAGCAGCUUACUGGGGCUUUUCUGACGCUGAGGCACGAAAGCGUGGGUAGCAAACG